GACAGAGGGUGCAACCGUUGCUCGGAAUCACUGGGCGUAAAGGGCGUGUAGGCGGGAAGGAAAGUCAGAUGUGAAAUCCCUGGGCUCAACCCAGGAACUGCAUUUGAAACUCCCUUUCUUGAGUGUCGGAGAGGAAAGCGGAAUUCCUGGUGUAGCGGUGAAAUGCGCAGAUAUCAGGAGGAACACCGAUGGCGAAGGCAGGUCUCUGGGCCACUACUGACGCUGAGAAGCGAAAGCGUGGGGAGCGAACAGG
This 253-nucleotide ribosomal RNA is filed under the name uncultured bacterium. Its description in RNAcentral is "partial 16S ribosomal RNA". It matches the Rfam family "Bacterial small subunit ribosomal RNA", at positions 524 to 776 of the family's 1533-position model. The record is from RNAcentral.